This 76-nucleotide transfer RNA is filed under the name Escherichia coli. Its description in RNAcentral is "tRNA-Thr". It matches the Rfam family "tRNA". From Rfam's summary of the family: Transfer RNA (tRNA) molecules are approximately 80 nucleotides in length. Their secondary structure includes four short double-helical elements and three loops (D, anti-codon, and T loops). Further hydrogen bonds mediate the characteristic L-shaped molecular structure. tRNAs have two regions of fundamental functional importance: the anti-codon, which is responsible for specific mRNA codon recognition, and the 3' end, to which the tRNAs corresponding amino acid is attached (by aminoacyl-tRNA synthetases). tRNAs cope with the degeneracy of the genetic code in two manners: having more than one tRNA (with a specific anti-codon) for a particular amino acid; and 'wobble' base-pairing, i.e. permitting non-standard base-pairing at the 3rd anti-codon position. The record is from RNAcentral. Lineage: Bacteria; Pseudomonadati; Pseudomonadota; Gammaproteobacteria; Enterobacterales; Enterobacteriaceae. RNAcentral also lists the same sequence under 94 other names.
GCUGAUAUGGCUCAGUUGGUAGAGCGCAUCCUUGGUAAGGAUGAGGUCCCCAGUUCGACUCUGGGUAUCAGCACCA